Homo sapiens (human) is the source of this 4630-nucleotide long non-coding RNA. RefSeq lists it as uncharacterized. The transcript has 3 exons. Lineage: Eukaryota; Metazoa; Chordata; Mammalia; Primates; Hominidae. The record is from RefSeq and is a predicted model, not a curated record.
AGAAUGGACUAAUACAGAAGCCAACAAGAUGACAUAGCUAGAUAAAAUUAGGUUAUGAGAAGUUUUAUAUAUAUACGCACAUAUGUAUAUAUAUUUAUGCAUACAUAUACACAGGGAAAAAGAACGCUUUAAGAGAUUGAGAAGUUUGAUGCAGACGAGUUUAAUGCCCUGGGGCAAUAGAACAGUCCCCUUUGAGGAUUUCUUUUCUGUAAGACAGAAAUUAUUCCCAUCUCUACUGGACAAAAGUCAUUUGUAAUGUAUCAAUCUACUCCAAGUUAACAUCUAAAUUGACAGAGUUUGGGCCCUGAUCAAUAGUAAAUGGUAUGUCAAAUAAAGUUCUCUUUCCCUAGAGUCUCCCAUGACAUUUCAGUGGACUUGUCGAAUGUUCUAGCAUGAUUUUGAAAGGGCAUGCAGUAAUCGUUUUGCCUUAUUUCCAAGUUUUGCAUAGUUUUUCUUAGCCAGUUGCAUUCUCAAAUGUCCACAGAGGCAGAGUGGGGCCGUGUUAGUCUAGGGUGUGCGUGUCCUGUCUAGGGGCAGCUGCUUCUCAAUGCCAAGGGCAGUGUGAGUCCCCUGUGACCAGGACCCCAGAAUUUCCAUGAGAAAGUAUAAAUGCACAUUUUUAUGUGAAAUGUUCUGUAUGAGUCAGGGUUCUCCAGAGGGACAGAACUAACAGGGGAGAUGUAUACAUGAAAGGGAGUUUAUUAGGGAGAAUUGACUCGCAAGAUCCAAGGCAAAGUCCCAUGAUAGACUGUCUGCAAGCUGAGGAGCAAGGAAGCCAGUAGUGGCUCGGUCUGAUCACAAAACCUUAAAAGCAGGGAGGCCGACAGUGCAACCACCAAUCAGCCUGUGGCCAAAGGCCCCAGAGCCCCCAGCAAACCACUGGUGUAAGUCCAAGAAUCCAAAGGCUGAAGAACCUGGAGUCUGGGGCAGGAAGCAUCCAGCAUGGGAGAAAGAUGAAGGCCAGAAGAUUCAGGAACCCAGCUUAUCCCACCCUCUUUGCCUGCUUUUUUCUAGCCGCGUUGGCAGCUGAUUGGUUGGUGCCCGCCCACACUGAGGGUGGGUCUGCAUCUCCCAGUCCAUUGACUCAGUUGUUCAUCUUCUCUGGCAACACCCUCACAGACACACCCAGAAAUGAUACUUUACCAGCUAUGCAAAGUAUUAUAGGCAUCCUUCAAUCACGUUGACAUCCAAUAUUAACCAUCACAUGUUGUAAUUUUAAAAUAUUGGCAAUUAAUUCAGUGAAAAGAAAAGAGAACACUGUCUUAAUCAUUUUGAGCCGAGUAUGUUGGUGCAAAAGUAAUUGCGGUUUUUGCUAUUACGUUUAAUGGCAAAGCUGCAAUUACUUUUACACCAACCUAAUAAAAUUCCAUAGAUGGGUGGCUUAUAAACAGCAGGGGUCUAUGUCUAUGGUUCUCGACCACAGUCUCUAUCCUGGAUUCCAGGAUCAAGGCAGCUGCAGAUUCAGUGUCUGCUGGGAACCUGGUUUCUGGUUCGGAGAUGGCACCUUCUCACCGUGUCCUCACGUGGUGGAACGGAUGAACACCCUCCCGCAGGACUCUUUUCACAACACCUACCUCAUCCACUUAGGAGGAGCUGAUGAGUAUCAACGAUCCAGAGAGUUCCUGGCCCGCAGCUGGCACACAGUCCACGUUACUGUCAGACAGUGGGGAGAAAAGAGUUUCCUCAUUCUCCUGGUGGGCCGUUCUCAUUGCAAUGUUGCUUUUGUUCCACAAGAACACAUCCUCCACUCCCUGGAAGAUGCAACUCCUACGGAAACUGAGUCCAAUGAUCAAAGGCACUGGCAUUCAGAGGGGACCCACUGAUAAUUGCCGACUACACAGGAGCUGUCUUCCAUAACUCCUCAGAGAGCACGUUGGCCCUACAAAUGCAAAUCCAACAUUCAGCCACGACCUCCCAUGUGCCAAGUGUCAUGGGAUUCAUGCUUUCAAACCAUCGGUUCCAGUUAAGACUCAUAUAAUGAAACAGAUGGGUUCACAUGAUUUUAGUUUAUAUGGGAAGAAGCUUUAGACUAAAGCAGAGGGAGGUAAACUUACAGGCAAGCAGGAAGGCUUGAAGGCUUGAGUGUUCUUGGAGGCUCACGGCUGGGUGCAGGCUGACCUUGGGUGAGAGCCCUCGUUCAUUGCCCCGUGACACUGUCCUUCCUGUGUUUUCAAACGGCCUCUUGUUCCUGGUCAAUAUCCUCUGCGCUUCUCUUUGGGGAUUUAGGACACCACGACAUUCUCUUCAUUGUCCAAGGAAACCAUUCUCCUCAUCUAGAAACAUCAUCGAUUUCUGAAGUUAAAUUGAGACCAGAGUGGAUUCUGCACAUCAGUCUCUCCCCUUUCCCUCUGUGACUGUGGACUCUGGGAGGGUUGAAGGGAGGUGGUGCCAAUGGCAAAGACAUGCUCUGAUGGUGCGGCUUUUCCACAGGCCUUUCUUAAGCUGUGACUGGGUCUCAGAUCUUUCUUCAGACCUGAGGGAUGUUUAGAGUGGAGGAUGUUUGCAACCAUCAGUCUUCCGUCAUGUUACACUGGAGUUUCGUGGCAGUGACGUGAAUUAAAGAGUAAUAUUUUAGAUUUGAUAUUUUAUUGCUGCAUAAUUUAUUAUAAUUUUUAGUGGUCAAUCUCAGCAUCCUGAUUCAGCUUCAGAAAAGUUUGGAAAGUCUCCCAAAGAAUGAGGAAUGAUUAGCCUACCACAGAAUCUUCUUUUGGAGGCACAGUGAAAAGCGCAUAAAACACAAAUGACAGUUUAUGACUUAUGAUAAAGCAUUCCCUUGUAUAAGCCUGAUGCAGGGUCAUGAAUGAAACCUUGUCCUCACCCCUCGAUGUCCUGCUUCCAAGAUACCACUCCUUCCCCAUCUCCAGAGAUCACCCCUGAUCUGACUGCCAUGGGAAUCUCUGCCCCCUAAAUACACAAUAGGCUUGAGACCCACCCAUUUUUAGAGUCUUUACAAAGAAUUGGUUGUACAUUGUUUUUUUUUAUUUUUUAUUUUUUUAUUUUUAGACAGGGUCUUGCUCUGUUACCCAGGCUGGAGUGCAGUGGUGCGAUCUCAGCUCACUUCAGCCUCAACCUGCCGGGCUCAAGCAAUCCUCCCACUUCAACCUUAUGAGCAGCUGUGACUACAGGCAUGCAUCACCAAGCCCAGCUAAUUUUUGUAUUUUUUGCAGAGACAGGGUUUCGCCAUGUUGCCCAGGCUGGUCUCAAACUCCUGGGCUCAAGUGAUCUGCCCGCCUCGGCCUCCCAAAGUGCUGGUAUUACAGGUGUGAGCCACUGCGCCUAGCCUUGGUUGUGUAUUUCUAUGGAUAAAAAUAUAUACACUCAGCAAAUAAAAUAAAACUUGUAAACUCUUCUGCAUCCUCUCUCCCCCUCCCCAGACCCUAGAAGUAACAGGUAUUAGGAAUUUGGCACAGCAUUUUUCAGGCUUUACACAUUUGCACAAGGCUUUUGUGUGAGGUUGUGCAGGUUGUGGGUGGCAUGACAUCAGUUGAUGACUUCCACAUAAACCAGGGGCUGCAAGCUGCAGCUCGAGGGUCAAGCCCAGCCUGCCACCUGUUCUUGUAUGUUUUGUGAGUUUAAAAGUCUUUACAUUUUUUAAAUGGUUAAGAAUUCAAAAUAAGGUUUUACAAUGUGAAAAUUGCACAAAAUUCCAAUUAUGGUGGGCAAACACAAAGUUUUAUUAAAAUAUAGCCAUACUCAUACAUUGGUGGCAGAAUUGAGUAGUUGUGGCAAAGACCCUGUGGCUCACAAAGCCUAAAAUAUUGACUCUCUGGCCCUUUAUGGAAAGUUUGCUGGCCCCUGACAUAGACAGUGUUGCAGGCGUCUCCCUUGGAGUUUUGCAGUGUGCAGCAUGCACUGCUGUAGGGAAGCAGUGCUGUAGGGAAGCAGUGCUGUGAACAUGGGUGCACACAUCACUUAAAAAUAAAACAGUGUUAAUGUGCUGUCAUUCAUUUUACUACUGCUAACACUUUGGUUGCCUUGAAUUUUUCACUAUUACAAAUCAUGCUGCAGUAAACAUUCUUGUGCUUUUGUACAGCCCUUUGCAUGUCACUACAGUUCCAAUUAUCUCCAACCUAGAGCAGUGUUAAUGCUGGCGUGCGUACAAUUUAAUCAACAUUGUGGCACCUUGUGGUAAAUGAACAAUUUUUCAAUUUAAUAUUUAUUAUAGUAGCCUGCGAGAAGGAAAUCUGUUCUGACUGGUUUAAAAGAGUCUCUAUAAUGAGCUAGGAGAUUUUAAAAUUCUAAAUGUGAAAAGCAAGUCAACUAAUUUACAAAUAAUUGGGAAACUAUUCAGCAUAAAGAAAAUGUAGCUUUUCAUGUGCUUGGAUUAGCUGUAUACGCAAAUUAGAUGCUGAUGAACUUUCUAGAAGUCAGUUUUCCCUAUGGAUAGGAACAUCUACCUGGCUACAUCUGUGCUAGAUAUUUGGAGAGAAGCAUUCAGAAUGAAAGCUAUAUUUUCCGAGCUAAUAUUUGCAUGAAUAUUGAGAUGUCGUUCCCUUUUUGAAGUAAAUAUUGACCUCAGUUUCACCUUUAUUUCUGUGUUCUGAUCAACACACACCAAUAACUGCUGAUGACUGGAUGUUCAUCCUGGUGGAAUCUGCUGGAACCAAUAAAAAAUGCCUAGCUGCUGUUA